Homo sapiens (human) is the source of this 820-nucleotide long non-coding RNA. Ensembl annotates it as RUNX3 antisense RNA 1. Its record names the gene RUNX3-AS1. Lineage: Eukaryota; Metazoa; Chordata; Mammalia; Primates; Hominidae. The record is from Ensembl.
CAAAAGGGAAGUCAUCUUCCGUUGGUCUAUGGGGACCCUGAGGUAGUAGGAGCUCGGUGAUAAUUCUAGGGACCACCCUGGGUUGUCAGGUGGGGGAGACAGAGAAGCCCACAUAGGAGGCACCAAAUGCAACUCACUCGUGCCCUUUUACUCAUGAGAGAACACGGAUCCAGAGAUGUCAAGUGACUCAGACACAGUCUCACAGCACACAGGCGGCAGAGGCAGGUAGGGGACUGGGCUUCCCUGGCAGCAGUCCCCAAGCCUGCCUGAGAGGCACAUCAGAAUCGCUUUAGGGGAUUUGCAAAACCACACCUGCCCAGGCCCAAACCCUAGAGAUUCUGAUUCCGCAGUCUGAGGUAGGAAUGGAGAAUCCUCCACAGCCUGAGGUAGGAACUGGGAAUCCAGUGUUUAAAACUCUCUAGGGGCGGUGAUUUCAGAAAACCUGCUGGCUCCAUCACACUUUGCUCAGGGACUGAGAUGGGAUGGCAUUUGGAAGACACAGCUGAAAUUUAGCAUCAUAUUCCAUGGCGAUUUUCCACCAGUGGAAAUCACAGGUGUUCUCUGGUAUCACAGCGGGGUCAGGGAUGACCUGAAAUAUUGUUCAUGCUCAUCACAACUGCAUGGCCCACCGCGGGGUCUUGUCACUCAGUGAGUUCUUGAAGAGGCACAGACAAAUGGAGUUCAACAAAUGGAAAACAACUGCCUUUAAUUAGCUCCGAGGACUACAAAGGGAACAACGUUAUAAUAGCAGCAACUCCAAGGAAGCAGCCACAGCUCUCAGCUCUCAGACCUGGGGCUGCCGCUCAUCAUCAGCUACAGC